GCGGGUUAAUUGGCUAAAAUUUGGGGACAAAAAUACAGCGUUCUUUCAUAAACAGGCAACCCAAAAACGUCAAAGAAAUUUUAUCAACAGAAUGGAAUCAGAUGAUGGUAAGGAAACAGAAGAUAUUUCAGAAAUGGAGGAUAUUACCAGGUUGUAUUUCCAAAAGCUGUUCUCGACUGGGAGGAGGGGAAAUUACAACAGAAUUCUGGUAGGAAUUAAGCAAUGUAUCUUCGAUGAGGACAAUCUGAAAUUGAAGGCAAAGUACACAAAAGAAGAGAUCCGUGAGGCACUUUCAGAAUUAGGCUCAACAAAAGCACCAGAAGAGGAUGGAUUCCCAGCAAUAUUCUACCAAAAAUGCUGGUCUAUUAUCGGAGAGGAAGUUUCAUCGUUCUGCCUUAAUCUACUGAAUGGAGGUAUGGAUGUCAGCUCAAUAAACAAAACGAAUAUAAUUUUAAUUCCUAAAAUUCCUAAUCCUGUGAAUAUCAUCAAUUUUAGACCAAUCAGUUUAUGUAAUGUGCUUUAUAAAUUGUUGGCCAAAGUUAUUGCAAACCGUCACCAUCUCGUGAUGAAUAGAUGUAUUGAUUUAGCUCAAAGUGCUUUUGUUCCUGAGAGACUAAUUAGCGAUAAAUUUUUAUUAGCCUAUGAAGUUCUUCACUCUUUGAAGAAUAAAAGAAUAGGAAAAAAAGGGCUUAUGGCAGUGAAACUAGACAUGAGUAAGGCAUAUGACAGGGUUGAAUGGUGCUUUGUUGAAAAAAUAAUGAAGAAAUUAGGGUUUGAUUCAGAAUGGGUUAACAAGUUGAUGAAAUGUGUUUCAACAGUAUCAUAUUCAGUGGUUCUCAAUGGCGUCAAUGGAGAAAGUUUUUUCCCGUCUAGAGGCCUUAGACAAGGAGAUCCUUUGAGUCCAUUUUUAUUUCUGUUUUGUGGAGAAGGACUUUCUAGUCUUCUAAGGCAAGCAACGGAAGGAAUUUUAAUUCAAGGAGUGAAAGUUAGUAGAAAUGGUCCGCAGAUUUCACACUUGUUAUUCGCGGAUGAUUGCAUUCUGUUUAGAGAAGCCACAGAGAGAGGAGCUACUGUUUUGAAGAAUAUCUUAAAGGAAUAUGAGCUCAGUUCUAGCCAAUGUGUUAAUUAUAAUAAAUCCACAAUCUUCUUCAGUACAAAUACGCAAGAGGAAGAAAAAAGAGUUAUUGUUCGAAUGCUCAGUGUUCGUAGAUCGAAUAAUCCAGAAAGGUAUUUAGAACUUCCAAAUUUAGUGGGCAGAAGAAAGAAAGUAGCUUUUCAAAGCUUGAAGGACAGAUUAAAACAAAGAAUUGAUAACUGGAGUGUUAAAUACCUCUCUCAAGGUGGAAAAGAUGUUUUUAUUAAGGCAGUAUUACAAUCAAUUCCAACUUAUUCUAUGGCGUGUUUUUUACUUCCUAAGUCUCUUUGUAACGAGUUGGAAGGUAUAAUAGCCAGAUUCUAGUGGGGGAAAAUCGGGGAAAGAAGGGGAUCCAUUGGUGUGCGUGGAAGGAUGUGUGUGUCUUGAAAGAAGCAGGUGGCCUUGAUUUUAGAAAACUUGAUAAAUUUAAUAUCGCAUUAUUAGCUAAACAGGGUUGGAGUCUUUUUAAUUUUCCAGAUUCUUUGUUAGCCCGAGUAUUGAAAGCUAAAUAGUAUCCGAAUGCGUGUUUUCUAACGGCUCAAUUAGGAAAUUUACCUUCGCUCACCUGGAAGAGUAUUUGGUUGGCAAAAGGUAUUCUUGAAAAAGGUCUCUGCUGGAGGGUUGGCAAAGGGGAUCGUAUUUCUGUUUGGGAGGACCUCUGGAUUUCGGGCAAUGAAGACGACAGAUUGCAAAAUCAUCAGAGAGAUGGAAAUAUUAAGUUAGUUUCGGGUUUGAUUGAUGUAGAUAGAAGAGAGUGGAAAGCUGAUAUAAUUUCUUUUACCUUCAAUGCAGAAGUUGUUAAAAAGAUCUUGCAAAUUCCAUUGGCAGCGACAGCAAAUGAAGAUUUCCAAGUCUGGAGAGGAGAACCCUCUGGCAAUUUUUUGGUUCGGAGCGCCUACAAACUAUUAUAGGAGGGUACUCAAAAUCCUAUUAAUUUACAAACCGAGACUAAAUUUUUUUACAAAAAACUAUGGAAUUUACAAAUUCCCCCGAAAAUCAAAGUUACAAUAUGGGGAAUCUAUUGGAAUUACAUUCCUACUUUUGCAAAUCUGAAGAUCAAACGAACAGUUGUAGAUGCUCGAUGUCCUCGAUGCAAACUGGAAGAGGAGGACUAUAAUCAUAUUUUUCGUGGAUGCUCUAUAACAAAAGAAGUUUGGAGACUUACACAGUUAUCAUGGAUACUUAUUAAUACUCAAGAUACUUUUUGGAAUUGGCUUACAUGGGUUUUUAGUCGCAGGACAAACGAACAGUGCCGACUUUUCUGUUGCGGGCUUUGGAUCAUCUGGACAAGCAAGAACAAAUUUGUUUACGAAAACAGACAAACAACAAGCAGGGAUAUCUCUCAUAAAAUUUCAGAUUUUCUCUCUGAGCUAAGAGGAAUCGAGGAGAAGAAACUUAACUUGGCAGGAAAUGGUGUUCCGCGAACUGUUGGGAGAUGUACGAGAAUCUCAGUUUACUUUGAUGCGGCCUUUGAUCAGCAAAAUGCAAGAUCUGCUUCGGGACUUGUUGUUCGAGGCGAGGGUGGGGAGAUUUUAGUCUCAAAGUCAGUUAUCCAUACCAACAUUGCAACUCCAUUCGCGGCAGAAGCACAUGCAAGGUUACAAGCCUUAGAGUUAGGAAGAUCUAUGGGGCUUAAAGAUUUACAAAUAAUGGGAAAUUCGAAAACGAUUAUCAAAAAGUGUCAAAGUUCAGAACAAGACAGAUCGGUCAUCGGAGCAAUCAUCAAAGAUAUUCAAGAGAUUAAAACCAAUUUUAAUAGUAUAUGUUUUUGUUAUAUUCUGAAACUGAUAAUAUUUUUGCCCAUUUGGUUGCAAUAGAAGCUUUAAAGAAGGGAGAAGAACAUUACCUGGCUGGGGCGAUUCCAAAUACUGUCCGACAAGCAGUGGAGAGGAUGAAUCCAAGAUAUUAAGAUUAAGAGCAAAAAGGUGACUGUUGGAAGGAGUAGCAAACGGAAAAAAAGAUUUGGGGAAAUCUGCUACUAUUAAUGGUUGGGUCGGUGAUGGGAAAUGAAAAGAUAAUGGAGGCCAGCUGUUUCUGAUCAACUGAGAUUUCUAGAAGCAUU
RNAcentral lists this long non-coding RNA (3197 nucleotides) under Gossypium raimondii (Peruvian cotton). RNAcentral describes it as "long non-coding RNA (GRAI_LNC005813)". The record is from RNAcentral. Lineage: Eukaryota; Viridiplantae; Streptophyta; Magnoliopsida; Malvales; Malvaceae.